GGGGCGCAGAUAAGAAGGCCGGGCGACUGUUUAACAAAAACACAGGUCUGUGCUAAGGGGAAACCUACGUAUACAGGCUGACGCCUGCCCAGUGCCGGAAGGUUAAGGGGAGCGGUGGAAGCUGCAAACUGAAGCCCCGGUGAACGGCGGCCGUAACUCUAACGGUCCUAAGGUAGCGAAGUCCCUUGUCGGGUAAGUUCCGACCCGCAUGAAUGGUUGAACGACUUGGCCAUUGUCUCGACGGAGGGCUCGGUGAAAUUGCGGUGCCCGUGAAGACGCGGGCGACCCGCGGCAGGACAAAAAGACCCCGUGGAGCUUUACUGUAGCCUGGUAUUGGGCUGGGAGCUGUCAUGUGUAGGAUAGGUGGGAGCUGAGAACCCCGACGCCAGUCGGGGUGGAGCCUCGUUGAAAUACCACCCUUGCAGUUUUUGGUUCUAACCUCGCAAUGCGGGACAGUGCCUGGUGGGCAGUUUAACUGGGGCGGUUGCCUCCUAAAAGUAACGGAGGCGCCCAAAGGUCCCUCAGGACGGAUGGAAAUCGUCCACAGAACGCAUUGGCAUAAGGGGCUUGACUGCGAGACCUACAAGUCGAGCAGGGACGAAAGUCGGGCAAAGUGAUCCUACGGCACCGUGUGGAAGGGCCGUGGCUUAUCGGAUAAAAGCUACCCCGGGGAUAACAGGCUUAUCUCGCCCAAGAGUUCACAUCGACGGCGAGGUUUGGCACCUCGAUGUCGGCUCGUCCCAUCCUGGGGCUGAAGGCGGUCCCAAGGGUCGGCUGUUCGCCGGUUAAAGGGGUACGUGAGUUGGGUUCAGAACGUCGUGAGACAGUUCGGUCUCUAUCCGCCGUGGGCGCAGGAGGCUUGAGGGAACCUUUCCCUAGUACGAGAGGACCGGGAAGGACAGACCUAUGGUGUUCCGUUGUUCCGCCAGGAGCAGCGCCGGGUAGCCAUGUCUGGAUGGAUAAGCGCUGAAGGCAUCUAAGCGCGAAGCUCCCCCAAGAUGAGGCCUCCCUCCCCGAUUUAAGUUUGGGGGUAAGACUGCAGAGAGACUAUCUGCUUGAUAGGCCGGAUGUGUAAGGUUGGUAACACUUCAGCAAACCGGUACUAACCAGUCGAGAGGCUUGACCCA
This 1127-nucleotide ribosomal RNA is filed under the name Aplysina aerophoba. Its description in RNAcentral is "bacterial LSU rRNA". It matches the Rfam family "Bacterial large subunit ribosomal RNA", at positions 1774 to 2925 of the family's 2925-position model. Lineage: Eukaryota; Metazoa; Porifera; Demospongiae; Verongiida; Aplysinidae. The record is from RNAcentral.